AUUGAACGCUGGCGGCAUGCUUUACACAUGCAAGUCGAACGCGUGGCGCACGGGUGAGUAAUACAUCGGAACGUGUCCUAUCGUGGGGGAUAACUGAUCGAAAGAUCAGCUAAUACCGCAUACGAUUGGGGCGGCCGAUGCCCGAUGGGCGAGUUGGUGAGGUAAAGGCUCACCAAGGCGACGAUCGGUAGCUGGUCUGAGAGGACGACCAGCCACACUGGGAAUGAGACACGGCCCAGACUCCUACGGGAGGCAGCAGUGGGGAAUAUUGGACAAUGGGGGCAACCCUGAUCCAGCCAUGCCGCGUGCAGGAUGAAGGUCUUCGGAUUGUAAACUGCUUUUGGCAGGGAAGCGGUACCUGAAGAAGAAGCACCGGCUAACUACGUGCCAGCAGCCGCGGUAAUUC
This 406-nucleotide ribosomal RNA is filed under the name uncultured bacterium. Its description in RNAcentral is "partial 16S ribosomal RNA". It matches the Rfam family "Bacterial small subunit ribosomal RNA", at positions 30 to 526 of the family's 1533-position model. The record is from RNAcentral.